RNAcentral lists this transfer RNA (92 nucleotides) under Neomoorella thermoacetica. RNAcentral's name for it is "Moorella thermoacetica tRNA-Ser". It matches the Rfam family "tRNA". Rfam says of the family: Transfer RNA (tRNA) molecules are approximately 80 nucleotides in length. Lineage: Bacteria; Bacillati; Bacillota; Clostridia; Neomoorellales; Neomoorellaceae. RNAcentral also lists the same sequence under 2 other names. The record is from RNAcentral.
GGAGAGAUGGCUGAGCUGGUUUAAGGCGCUCGACUCGAAAUCGAGUGAAGGUGAUGAGCCUUCCGUGGGUUCGAAUCCCACUCUCUCCGCCA